Molecule: ribosomal RNA, 253 nt
Filed under: uncultured bacterium
Lineage: Bacteria
Description: partial 16S ribosomal RNA
Rfam family: Bacterial small subunit ribosomal RNA
Source: RNAcentral
GACGUAGGGCGCGAGCGUUGUCCGGAUUUAUUGGGCGUAAAGCGCGUGUAGGCGGCUCGGUAAGUCUGCUGCGAAAGUCCAGGGCUCAACCCUGGAAUGCCGGUGGAUACUGUCGAGCUCGAGUCCGGAAGAGGCGAGUGGAAUUCCUGGUGUAGCGGUGAAAUGCGCAGAUAUCAGGAGGAACACCAAUGGCGAAGGCAGCUCGCUGGGACGUGACUGACGCUGAGACGCGAAAGCGUGGGGAGCAAACAGG